UAUAAAGCAUUUAGGAUGAAAUUUGUAAAUUUCCAAGAAACCUGAAGGGCUAAAAGUUUCUGUUUUAAAACGUCUAUAAGUACAUUAUCAUAUGCGGCGGAAAUAUCCAAAAAAGUUGCAAGUACAGAUUCAUUAUUAGUGAAUGCUAGUCGGAUGUCAGAAAUAAAAAUACUGAUGCUAUCCAAUGUGCAUUUUCCUUUCCUAAAACCGUACUGACUAUCCGAUAUUAAGCCUUUACUUUCAAAAUGCCACUCUAAACGAUUUUUAAUAAGAUGUUCUAUUAGUUUUAAUAGGAUGGAUGAUAAGGCUAUAGGGCGAUAUGAAGAAGCGUCAGAUAGGGGUUUAUUCGGUUUACACACUGGCAACACUACUUGUGUUUUCCAUUCUGACGGGAGAGUUCCUGUGUUUACAAAUGAAUUGAUGAGCUGUAAAUAAUAACCUAAAAUGUUGUCACUGAGAUGAGUAAAGAAAGAAUAUGGUAUUCCGUCGGCCCCAGGGGCGGAAUCUUUAGUAUUAGACACAACUCCUUUUAAUUCAUAAAGGGAAAAGUCUGAAUCCAAUGCCAUGUUACUUACUGUGUGUGAGGAAGCCUCAUCGCUGACUAUGUUGUGUGGUACCCAAGGGGGAGCUAAUUUGGUUAAAAAGUCAUGAGCUAAUGUUUCUGGUAUUGAUGGACUAGAAAUAUCACUAAACACAGAUUUAAAUCUUCUAAUACUACGCCAAACUAUAGAGGAAGGAGUGUUGGGGGAUAUAGAAAGACAGAAGUUUUUCCAACUCUCAGAUUUCUUUUUUUUCAAUAAUUUAGAGGUUUCUUUAUUUACAGACAUAACUAAAUCAAAAUUCUCUGAAGUCAUAUUAUAUUUAUAUUGUUUUUCAAUCUCUUUUCUGCGUUUAAUUGCUUCUGUACAUUCUGAAUCCCACCAAGGGGGUGAAGGAAUUUUGUUAGAUAAAUUUCCCUUUAGAGGGAAAACUUCAUUUGCUGCUUCGAUCAGAACAUUUGUAAGAGCAUUGGCACAAUCUAGUUGGUUAUCAGAUGAUAUAUUUGGGAGUGAAGAUAUUUUACUUUCUACACAAUUUUUAAAAGUUAGCCAAGUGUCACUAGUACUGUCUGGUAACCUAUGUUUUAAUUGAGAUGUAUGUUUCAGUGCUUUAGGUUUAUUAUAUGGAAAGGAAAUUAAAAUAGGGAAAUGGUCACUUCCAUAUGAGGACGGCAGGGUGCACCAGGUUAAGGAAGAGGCCAAACUUGGUGUACAAAUGGAGAGGUCAACUGCACUAACAUUUUGAUUUGGUGCUGUGAGGCGUGUGGGAGAGCCAGUAUUUAAAGUACAGAGGUUAUUACUGUCAAUUAUAUCAAGAAGUGCUUCACCAUAAUUGUUUGACACUGUACUACCCCAUGUCUGAUGGUGAGAGUUGAAAUCCCCUAAUAAUAAAAAUGGUCUUGCUAAAAUAGAAAAAUCUUCACUAUGUACAGGCAAAUUUACAGGAGAGAAUGGGACGGAGUUCCUGAUGAAAAUAGCCACUCCACCAUAUCCAUCAGGUCUGUCUUCUCUAAGGCAAUGGGCUGGCAGAAACAACAUCCGCAAAGGAUUUGGAGGCAGGUGGAUGUAGCUUUGAGGCUUCCGCGUAUGAAACACAAUUAUGGGCCAUAUAAUGUUUUAUUUGCUUCUGGCGAGCCAGCUCUGGACAAGCUUUGCUGGUGGCUAAAUGGGACCCGGAACAUAAGCAGCAAAAAGCGUUAUCUUCCUCCACCAUACAGGAGUCACCAGUGUGAUCAUGACCACACUUGUAACAGCGUGGUUUCGACCGACACUGUACCUUUGUGUGGCCAAAGCGGCAACAGUUGUAACACUGUAUGGUAGGGAAGAUAUAUAGUUCCACCGGAAGUGCAUUAUAGCAAAUAAAAAUACGCUUCGGCAAGACCUGGCCGUCGAAAGUGAUCACAGCAGAUUGUGACGGUUUCCAUACUGGUGUACCAUUAAUAAAGGUUUUAUAAUUGA
This is a long non-coding RNA of Ostrinia nubilalis (European corn borer), 1997 nucleotides long. RefSeq lists it as uncharacterized. The transcript is spliced from 3 exons. NCBI's taxonomy places the organism in Eukaryota, Metazoa, Arthropoda, Insecta, Lepidoptera, Crambidae. The record is from RefSeq and is a predicted model, not a curated record.